RNAcentral lists this ribosomal RNA (815 nucleotides) under uncultured bacterium. RNAcentral describes it as "bacterial SSU rRNA". It matches the Rfam family "Bacterial small subunit ribosomal RNA", at positions 61 to 885 of the family's 1533-position model. The record is from RNAcentral.
GUCGAACGGACUCAUAUUGAAACCUAGUGAUUUAUGAGUUAGUGGCGGCACGGGUGAGUAACGCGUGGAUAACCUGCCGUAUACCGGGGGAUAACACUUAGAAAUAGGUGCUAAUACCGCAUAAGCGCACGGCUCCGCAUGGGGCAGUGUGAAAAACUCCGGUGGUAUACGAUGGAUCCGCGUCUGAUUAGCUAGUUGGCGGGGUAACGGCCCACCAAGGCAGCGAUCAGUAGCCGGCCUGAGAGGGUGGACGGCCACAUUGGGACUGAGACACGGCCCAAACUCCUACGGGAGGCAGCAGUGGGGAAUAUUGCACAAUGGGGGAAACCCUGAUGCAGCGACGCCGCGUGAGUGAAGAAGUAUCUCGGUACGUAAAGCUCUAUCAGCAGGGAAGAAAAUGACGGUACCUGACCAAGAAGCCCCGGCUAACUACGUGCCAGCAGCCGCGGUAAUACGUAGGGGGCAAGCGUUAUCCGGAUUUACUGGGUGUAAAGGGAGCGUAGACGGCAGCACAAGUCUGGAGUGAAAUCCCGGGGCUUAACCCCGGAACUGCUUUGGAAACUGUGCGGCUGGAGUGCAGGAGGGGUAAGCGGAAUUCCUAGUGUAGCGGUGAAAUGCGUAGAUAUUAGGAGGAACACCGGUGGCGAAGGCGGCUUACUGGACUGUAACUGACGUUGAGGCUCGAAAGCGUGGGGAGCAAACAGGAUUAGAUACCCUGGUAGUCCACGCCGUAAACGAUGAUUACUAGGUGUCGGGGGACCAAGGUCCUCCGGUGCCGGCGCAAACGCAUUAAGUAAUCCACCUGGGGAGUACGU